AGCCACGUGGGGGAGGAUGAGAAGAGGCUAAAUAUAGCCAUGGAAAAAACAACCAGCAGACUAGAAAGCACCUUCAGGCUUAACAUCAACAGUGAGAGGCUGUCAUUUCCCAGGAUUCCUCAGCCAUGCUCCGGUGAUACCUGUUUGAAAUCGGACUUCAGGCAAGCUGGUUCCUUCUCGUGUGGCUAAGACGAUGCAGCCAACUCACCCUGUUUAUGGAACAAGUUGCUGAUCCCAGCCCUGCCACUCCGUUCUUGUUGGCACGGCUGCUGCUAGUGAAGAUGGAGAGAGCCCCCCAAGGAAUGUCAUUUUCAAAAUGGUGCAGAACUGCUUCCCGCAAGGCCUGACAUCCUCCUCAUUGUGGUUUCUGUGAGUGCAAGAGGAUCUUUCUUUUGUAUUUUUUUGCGCUCUGCUGGGAUUGGCCGUGCAAUGCCGUGAUUGCUGAUGGAGUGCUUACAGCUGCAGAGGGCAGUGCCCGGACUCUGCAGUGGCCAGGCUCAAUGAUAUAAUAUGCAUAGGUGCUGGUAAAGCUGAAACCCACUGCCCUGAGUUGGAUAAAUCAGGAGUAUCGUUACUGCGCCUCAAGGUCAGGGAACCUGAUGGCUGCCACAGCUGAUGGGCACCAGAAGAAGAGAACUCUUUCCUGUGUGUGUGUGUGUGUGUGUGUGUGUGUGUGUGUGUAGAGGGCGGAGGAGGUGGAGUGAGAUGCAUGGGUGGGGAACAAGAAAAAGUGACAAAGGAUCUAUAGUGAUUUCACCAGCAUUUUAAUAUAUUUUCUUAAAAAUUAUUUUUUUAAAUGUUUAUUUUUGAGAGAGACAGAGUGUGAGCGGGGCAGGGACAGAG
Molecule: long non-coding RNA, 843 nt
Organism: Leopardus geoffroyi (Geoffroy's cat)
Lineage: Eukaryota; Metazoa; Chordata; Mammalia; Carnivora; Felidae
Exons: 3
Source: RefSeq, a predicted model, not a curated record